Molecule: ribosomal RNA, 458 nt
Filed under: uncultured bacterium
Lineage: Bacteria
Description: bacterial SSU rRNA
Rfam family: Bacterial small subunit ribosomal RNA
Source: RNAcentral
AUUGAACGCUGGCGGCAUGCCUUACACAUGCAAGUCGAACGGCAGCACGGGGCAACCUGGUGGCGAGUGGCGAACGGGUGAGUAAUGCAUCGGAACGUGCCAUUGAGUGGGGGAUAACGUAGCGAAAGUUGCGCUAAUACCGCAUAUUCUGUGAGCAGGAAAGCAGGGGGACCGCAAGGCCUUGCGCUCUUUGAGCGGCCGAUGUCAGAUUAGCUAGUUGGUGAGGUAAAGGCUCACCAAGGCGACGAUCCGUAGCGGGUCUGAGAGGAUGAUCAGCCGCACUGGGACUGAGACACGGCCCAGACUCCUACGGGAGGCAGCAGUGGGGAAUAUUGGACAAUGGGCGCAAGCCUGAUCCAGCAAUGCCGCGUGGGUGAAGAAGGCCUGCGGGUUGUAAAGCCCUUUAAGCGGGAGGAAAGCCGGGGUGUCAAUAGCGCCCUGGGGUGACGUUACCGCAG